GAAUAUGAAGUGAUAUAUCACACUUAGUUUCGACCUAACCUUAGAUGACUUUCAUCCUUAUUCU
Molecule: transfer RNA, 64 nt
Filed under: Simulium bidentatum
Lineage: Eukaryota; Metazoa; Arthropoda; Insecta; Diptera; Simuliidae
Also listed under: 2 other names
Description: tRNA-Arg
Source: RNAcentral